UACGUAGGGUGCGAGCGUUAAUCGGAAUUACUGGGCGUAAAGCGUGCGCAGGCGGUUUUGUAAGCCAGAUGUGAAAUCCCCGGGCUUAACCUGGGAACUGCAUUUGGGACUGCAAGGCUUGAGUGCGGCAGAGGAGACUGGAAUUCCUGGUGUAGCAGUGAAAUGCGUAGAUAUCAGGAGGAAUACCGAUGGCGAAGGCAGGUCUCUGGGCUGACACUGACGCUCAGGCACGAAAGCGUGGGGAGCAAACAGG
RNAcentral lists this ribosomal RNA (253 nucleotides) under uncultured bacterium. Its description in RNAcentral is "partial 16S ribosomal RNA". It matches the Rfam family "Bacterial small subunit ribosomal RNA", at positions 524 to 776 of the family's 1533-position model. The record is from RNAcentral.